AGAGUUUGAUCCUGGCUCAGAUUGAACGCUGGCGGCAUGCUUUACACAUGCAAGUCGAACGGCAGCACGGGUGCUUGCACCUGGCGGCGAGUGGCGGACGGGUGAGUAAUACAUCGGAACGUGUCCUGAAGUGGGGGAUAACGCAUCGAAAGAUGUGCUAAUACCGCAUAUACUCUGAGGAGUAAAGUAGGGGAUCGAAAGACCUUAUGCUUUUGGAGCGGCCGAUGUCUGAUUAGCUAGUUGGUGGGGUAAUUGCCUACCAAGGCGACGAUCAGUAGUUGGUCUGAGAGGACGGCCAGCCACACUGGGACUGAGACACGGCCCAGACUCUUACGGGAGGCAGCAGUGGGGAAUUUUGGACAAUGGGCGCAAGCCUGAUCCAGCAAUGCCGCGUGAGUGAAGAAGGCCUUCGGGUUGUAAAGCUCUUUCAGUUGAGAAGAAAAGAUUGUAACUAAUAAUUACAGUUCAUGACGGUAUCAACAGAAGAAGCACCGGCUAACUACGUGCCAGCAGCCGCGGUAAUACGUAGGGUGCGAGCGUUAAUCGGAAUUACUGGGCGUAAAGGGUGCGCAGGCGGUUCUGUAAGUCAGAUGUGAAAUCCCCGGGCUUAACCUGGGAACUGCGUUUGAAACUACAGAGCUAGAGUGUGGCAGAGGGGGGUGGAAUUCCAUGUGUAGCAGUGAAAUGCGUAGAGAUAUGGAAGAACAUCGAUGGCGAAGGCAGCCCCCUGGGUUAACACUGACGCUCAUGCACGAAAGCGUGGGGAGCAAACAGGAUUAGAUACCCUGGUAGUCCAA
This 797-nucleotide ribosomal RNA is filed under the name uncultured bacterium. RNAcentral describes it as "bacterial SSU rRNA". It matches the Rfam family "Bacterial small subunit ribosomal RNA", at positions 8 to 798 of the family's 1533-position model. The record is from RNAcentral.